GAUGAACGCUGGCGGCGUGCUUAACACAUGCAAGUCGAACGGAAAGACGGGGAGAGUGCUGGUGGCGCGUGACGGGCGGGCGGGUGAUAAACAGGAGCGUAACCGGCCGAGGGGACUGGGAUAACGUAGGUAAACCUGAUAUAACACCGGAUAAGAGGUUGAACCCGGGGGUUCAUUGGGGAAAGAGGGAUUUGCGGGCACGAAUAGAGGGAACGUAGCCGGAUUAGCUAGUUGGUAAGGUAACGGCCUACCAAGGCGACGAUGCGUAGCCGACCUGAGAGGACGACCGGCCACACUGGGACUGAGACACGGCCCAGACUCCUACGGGAGGCAGCAGUAGGGAAUUUUGGGCAAUGGGCGCAAGCCUGAUGCAGCCAUGCCGCGUGCGUGACGAAGGCCUUCGGGUUGUAAACUGCUGUUGUACGGAACGAAAAGGCUCGGGCUAAUACCUGGGGGUCUUGACGGUACCUAAUCAGUAAGCACCGGCUAACUACGUG
RNAcentral lists this ribosomal RNA (497 nucleotides) under uncultured bacterium. RNAcentral's name for it is "partial 16S ribosomal RNA". It matches the Rfam family "Bacterial small subunit ribosomal RNA", at positions 28 to 507 of the family's 1533-position model. The record is from RNAcentral.